RNAcentral lists this ribosomal RNA (207 nucleotides) under uncultured bacterium. Its description in RNAcentral is "partial 16S ribosomal RNA". It matches the Rfam family "Bacterial small subunit ribosomal RNA", at positions 1294 to 1500 of the family's 1533-position model. The record is from RNAcentral.
CGGACUGCAGGCUGCAACUCGCCUGCACGAAGUUGGAAUUGCUAGUAAUCGUGGAUCAGCAUGCCACGGUGAAUACGUUCCCGGGUCUUGUACACACCGCCCGUCACACCAUGGGAGUCGAUAACGCCCGAAGUCAGUGACCCAACCGAAAGGAGGGAGCUGCCGAAGGCGGGAUGGAUAACUGGGGUGAAGUCGUAACAAGGUAGC